Molecule: ribosomal RNA, 253 nt
Filed under: uncultured bacterium
Lineage: Bacteria
Description: partial 16S ribosomal RNA
Rfam family: Bacterial small subunit ribosomal RNA
Source: RNAcentral
UACGGAGGGAGCUAGCGUUGUUCGGAAAUACUGGGCGUAAGGCGCACGUAGGCGGCGCAGCAAGUCAGGGGUGAAAUCCCGGGGCUCAACCCCGGAACUGCCCUUGAAACUGCAGUGCUAGAAUCUUGGAGAGGCGAGUGGAAUUCCGAGUGUAGAGGUGAAAUUCGUAGAUAUUCGGAAGAACACCAGUGGCGAAGGCGACUCGCUGGACAAGUAUUGACGCUGAGGUGCGAAAGCGUGGGGAGCAAACAGG